This 467-nucleotide ribosomal RNA is filed under the name uncultured bacterium. Its description in RNAcentral is "partial 16S ribosomal RNA". It matches the Rfam family "Bacterial small subunit ribosomal RNA", at positions 28 to 506 of the family's 1533-position model. The record is from RNAcentral.
GACGAACGCUGGCGGCGUGCUUAACACAUGCAAGUCGAACGGAAAGGCCCUGCUUUUGUGGGGUGCUCGAGUGGCGAACGGGUGAGUAACACGUGAGUAACCUGCCCUUGACUUUGGGAUAACUUCAGGAAACUGGGGCUAAUACCGGAUAGGAGCUCCUGCUGCAUGGUGGGGGUUGGAAAGUUUCGGCGGUUGGGGAUGGACUCGCGGCUUAUCAGCUUGUUGGUGGGGUAGUGGCUUACCAAGGCUUUGACGGGUAGCCGGCCUGAGAGGGUGACCGGCCACAUGGGGACUGAGAUACGGCCCAGACUCCUGCGGGGGGGAGAGGGGGGGAAUUUGGCCAAAUGGGCGGAAGCCUGAUGCAGCAACGCGGGGGGGGGGAUGGCGGCUUUCGGGUUGUAAACCUCUUUCGCCUGUGACGAAGCGCGAGUGACGGAAAUGGGUAAAGAAGCACCGGCUAACUACGG